GUGGGGAAUUUUGGACAAUGGGCGCAAGCCUGAUCCAGCAAUGCCGCGUGCAGGAAGAAGGCCUUCGGGUUGUAAACUGCUUUUGUACGGAACGAAAAGGCUCUGGUUAAUACCUGGGGCUCAUGACGGUACCGUAAGAAUAAGCACCGGCUAACUACGUGCCAGCAGCCGCGGUAAUACGUAGGGUGCAAGCGUUAAUCGGAAUUACUGGGCGUAAAGCGUGCGCAGGCGGUUUUGUAAGACAGAGGUGAAAUCCCCGGGCUCAACCUGGGAAUUGCCUUUGUGACUGCAAGGCUGGAGUGCGGCAGAGGGGGAUGGAAUUCCGCGUGUAGCAGUGAAAUGCGUAGAUAUGCGGAGGAACACCGAUGGCGAAGGCAAUCCCCUGGGCCUGCACUGACGCUCAUGCACGAAAGCGUGGGGAGCAAACAGGAUUAGAUACCCGGGUAGUCC
Molecule: ribosomal RNA, 450 nt
Filed under: uncultured bacterium
Lineage: Bacteria
Description: partial 16S ribosomal RNA
Rfam family: Bacterial small subunit ribosomal RNA
Source: RNAcentral